RNAcentral lists this ribosomal RNA (414 nucleotides) under uncultured microorganism. Its description in RNAcentral is "bacterial SSU rRNA". It matches the Rfam family "Archaeal small subunit ribosomal RNA", at positions 459 to 872 of the family's 1478-position model. The record is from RNAcentral.
CAGCAGCCGCGGUAAUACCGGCGGCCCGAGUGGCGGUCACUCUUAUUGGGCUUAAAGCGUCCGUAGCCGGGUUGGGAAGUCCUCCGGGAAAUCUGGCCGCUUAAAGGUCAGAAUGCCGGAGGAUACUCCCAGCCUAGGGAGCGGGAGAGGCCGAGGGUAUUCCCGGAGUAGGGGUGGAAUCCUAUAAUCCCGGGAGGACCACCUGUGGCGAAGGCGCUCGGCUGGAACGCGUCCGACGGUGAGGGACGAAGGCCAGGGGAGCAAACCGGAUUAGAUACCCGGGUAGUCCUGGCUGUAAACGAUGCGGACUUUGUGUCGGACAAGCUAUGAGCUUGUCCGGUGCCGGAGGGAAACCGUUAAGUCCGCCGCCUGGGGAGUACGGCCGCAAGGCUGAAACUUAAAGGAAUUGGCGGG